Molecule: ribosomal RNA, 429 nt
Filed under: Actinomycetes bacterium
Lineage: Bacteria; Bacillati; Actinomycetota; Actinomycetes
Description: Actinobacteria bacterium partial 16S ribosomal RNA
Rfam family: Bacterial small subunit ribosomal RNA
Source: RNAcentral
UAGGGAAUCUUCCGCAAUGGGCGAAAGCCUGACGGAGCAACGCCGCGUGAGUGAUGAAGGUCUUCGGAUCGUAAAACUCUGUUAUUAGGGAAGAACAAAUGUGUAAGUAACUAUGCACGUCUUGACGGUACCUAAUCAGAAAGCCACGGCUAACUACGUGCCAGCAGCCGCGGUAAUACGUAGGUGGCAAGCGUUAUCCGGAAUUAUUGGGCGUAAAGCGCGCGUAGGCGGUUUUUUAAGUCUGAUGUGAAAGCCCGCGGCUCAACCGUGGAGGGUCAUUGGAAACUGGAGAACUUGAGUGCAGAAGAGGAAGGUGGAAUGCCAUGUGUAGCGGUGAAAUGCGCAGAGAUAUGGAGGAACACCAGUGGCGAAGGCGACUUUCUGGUCUGUAACUGACGCUGAUGUGCGAAAGCGUGGGGAUCAAACAGG